GGUGGAGCUUAGUAGAAAACCCUAAUACACCCCUCUCAUAUGGCGGUGUCCGAUGCCGGAACCCCUUUAAUCUGACGAUGCAAUUAGGGUUUCCGAAUUCCUUUAACAUGACAUAUCAUUCAUAUUGUAUGCGCAUUGCAUUAUGCCAUGUCGUGAAUGUUUGUUUCCCUUUCCGGUAUUUGGUUCUUCGCGCUAGGAUCUGAGCCGGAGUCCGACGUCAACGCCACCGAAGAACAGUACUCAUCCGCUGAGGGACAAGAUGAAGUCGCUACAGCCGAAGGUGGUUUCUACGUUAACAUCGAUGGUUAGUUUGGAGUUCCCAGGCAGCAGCCUGCGACUUAUGGGCUGGGACGUCGCUUUAUGUUAUGGCUUCUUAAGCCCUUUGCUAUCUUGUUAUUUAGAAUAACAUAAUUUGCUUCCGUUGCUUGUUGAAUGUUGGGUCAGUGACCUCUGCGUGUUAUAAUUUGGAUCUUACUCUGCUAAGAGUUGUAAUAUAUUCUUUUGAGUCGUAGAGUCA
Long non-coding RNA from Lolium perenne, 517 nucleotides. RefSeq lists it as uncharacterized. Lineage: Eukaryota; Viridiplantae; Streptophyta; Magnoliopsida; Poales; Poaceae. The record is from RefSeq and is a predicted model, not a curated record.